GGACAAGGGUAAUUGUUGGUGAACAUUUAUCAGUUUUGUUUUUACAGUGAUGUGUCAGGAUCAUCAUCACCAGUGAUGGUAGGUGAUUUAGACUUGUGUCGAUACAGCUACAGCGUUGUGCGGUACACCACCUCCACUGUAUAUUGUGAAGUUAGUGGAGUUAGUGAACUUCGCAGUAAAUACCUGUGAGAUUAUAAUAUCGAAUUUCUAUUGAGUUCGUCUAUACAGUUAUCAAUCAAUGGAGUAACUGUCACAGUCAAUCAAAUGGGCCCAAAGAUUGUAUGGAAUCGGAUCGACAGCACACUUUACCCAACUUGCAUCACUGGCUAUGUGGUAACUGACCAAGAGAACCCAUCCCUCACAACCACUGUUGACUCCAACACAACAUCACUCACAGCUCAAUUAUAGCGCUGCUUCCCCUAUACUGUAUCAGCAUCCCCAACCUACAGUCACACCUCUCAGUGGGACCUCAAGCAUUUCUCUUGUGGACCCAGAUUUCCCUACCCCGAUGCUUACUACAGUUUUAGUCACUGAUGUCAUUGUGCUACGUGUAAAUAUAAAUGUCAAAAGAAACAUUACCACAGACACCAGUCACACUGUCACAAUCACUCUACCCCUCACUCCCUACCAACCCAAGGAGCUGCUCAUCAUCUCAACCGUUGAGCCAUCCAAUGACGAUUGUAACUGUUGCUGCUCUGACAACAAAGAGAGAAGUCAUGGUCAUCAAGAAAGACCUAAUGCAAGUUAGGGUUGACCUAAUGGAAAAACUCACAUGCUCUGUCUGUACAUCUAGACUAAGAAGUACUGAAAACAUUGCCUGACCUAUAAGUGUAUGAUAUGUAAUACAUUAAUUGUUGUCAGCAAAUACUCUUUCAUCAAACUGAGCAAUAUCUUCUUGGUUUUACAUAAUGGUGA
This is a long non-coding RNA of Halichondria panicea, 915 nucleotides long. RefSeq lists it as uncharacterized. The record is from RefSeq and is a predicted model, not a curated record. NCBI's taxonomy places the organism in Eukaryota, Metazoa, Porifera, Demospongiae, Suberitida, Halichondriidae. The transcript is spliced from 4 exons.